AACGAACGCUGGCGGCGUGCCUGACACAUGCAAGUCGAACGAGAAAGGGGCUUCGGCUCCGAGUAAAGUGGCGCACGGGUGAGUAACACGUGGGUAACCUGCCUCUAAGAUUGGGAUAACUCGUCGAAAGAUGAGCUAAUACCGAAUAAGACCACAGUUCCCGCGGGAACAGGGGUCAAAGGUAGCCUCUGCUUGCAAGCUAUCACUUAGAGAUGGGCCUGCGCACCAUUAGCUAGUUGGUAGGGUAACGGCCUACCAAGGCAAAGAUGGUUAGCUGGUCUGAGAGGAUGAUCAGCCACACUGGAACUGAGACACGGUCCAGACUCCUACGGGAGGCAGCAGUGGGGAAUAUUGCGCAAUGGGCGAAAGCUUGACGCAGCAACGCCGCGUGAGUGAUGAAGGCCUUCGGGUCGUAAAGCUCUGUCGGGAGGAACGAAUGCUCCUGAGGUUAACAGCCUCGGGAGGUGACGGUACCUUCAAAGGAAGCACCGGCUAACUCUGUG
RNAcentral lists this ribosomal RNA (503 nucleotides) under uncultured bacterium. Its description in RNAcentral is "partial 16S ribosomal RNA". It matches the Rfam family "Bacterial small subunit ribosomal RNA", at positions 29 to 507 of the family's 1533-position model. The record is from RNAcentral.